This 500-nucleotide ribosomal RNA is filed under the name uncultured bacterium. RNAcentral describes it as "partial 16S ribosomal RNA". It matches the Rfam family "Bacterial small subunit ribosomal RNA", at positions 28 to 523 of the family's 1533-position model. The record is from RNAcentral.
GAUGAACGCUGGCGGAAUGCCUUACACAUGCAAGUCGAACGGCAGCACGGGGGCAACCCUGGUGGCGAGUGGCGAACGGGUGAGUAAUACAUCGGAACGUGCCCAGUCGUGGGGGAUAACGUAGCGAAAGUUACGCUGAUACCGCAUACGAUCUACGGAUGAAAGCGGGGGACCGUAAGGCCUCGCGCGAUUGGAGCGGCCGAUGUCAGAUUAGGUAGUUGGUGAGGUAAAGGCUCACCAAGCCGACGAUCGGUAGCUGGUCUGAGAGGACGAGCGGCCACACUGGGACUGAGACACGGCCCAGACUCCUACGGGAGGCAGCAGUGGGGAAUUUUGGACAGUGGGCGCAAGCCUGAUCCAGCCAUUCCGCGUGCAGGACGAAGGCCUUCGGGUUGUAAACUGCUUUUGUACGGAACGAAAAGGCUCUGGUUAAUACCUGGGGCUCAUGACGGUACCGUAAGAAUAAGCACCGGCUAACUACGUGCCAGCCGCCGCGGUAA